This 543-nucleotide ribosomal RNA is filed under the name uncultured bacterium. RNAcentral describes it as "partial 16S ribosomal RNA". It matches the Rfam family "Bacterial small subunit ribosomal RNA", at positions 355 to 888 of the family's 1533-position model. The record is from RNAcentral.
UGGGGAAUUUUGGACAAUGGGCGAAAGCCUGAUCCAGCAAUGCCGCGUGUGUGAAGAAGGCCUUCGGGUUGUAAAGCACUUUUGUCCGGAAAGAAAUCCUCUGGGUUAAUACCUCGGGGGGAUGACGGUACCGGAAGAAUAAGCACCGGCUAACUACGUGCCAGCAGCCGCGGUAAUACGUAGGGUGCAAGCGUUAAUCGGAAUUACUGGGCGUAAAGCGUGCGCAGGCGGUUUUGUAAGACGGAUGUGAAAUCCCCGGGCUUAACCUGGGAACUGCAUUCGUGACUGCAAGGCUAGAGUAUGGCAGAGGGGGGUAGAAUUCCACGUGUAGCAGUGAAAUGCGUAGAGAUGUGGAGGAAUACCGAUGGCGAAGGCAGCCCCCUGGGCCAAAUACUGACGCUCAUGCACGAAAGCGUGGGGAGCAAACAGGAUUAGAUACCCUGGUAGUCCACGCCCUAAAACGAUGUCAACUAGUUGUUGGGGAUUCAUUUCCUUAGUAACGUAGCUAACGCGUGAAGUUGACCGCCUGGGGGAGUACGGUCG